RNAcentral lists this ribosomal RNA (594 nucleotides) under uncultured Pseudozyma. RNAcentral describes it as "LSU rRNA". It matches the Rfam family "Eukaryotic large subunit ribosomal RNA", at positions 81 to 657 of the family's 3401-position model. Lineage: Eukaryota; Fungi; Basidiomycota; Ustilaginomycetes; Ustilaginales; Ustilaginaceae. The record is from RNAcentral.
UAGUACGGCGAGUGAAGAGGGAAGAGCCCAAGAUUGAAAGCUGGCGUCUUCGGCGUCCGCAUUGUAAUCUCAAGAAGUGUUUUCCGCUUCGGACCAUGCCUAAGUCCCUUGGAAAAGGGCAUCAUAGAGGGUGAUAAUCCCGUACAUGGCAUGGAGCGCCCGAAGCUUUGUGAUACGCUUUCUACGAGUCGAGUUGUUUGGGAAUGCAGCUCAAAAUGGGUGGUAAAUGCCAUCUAAGGCUAAAUAUUGGGGAGAGACCGAUAGCGAACAAGUACAGUGAUGGAAAGAUGAAAAGAACUUUGAAAAGAGAGUUAAACAGUACGUGAAAUUGCCAAAAGGGAAGGGUAGGAGGUCAGAGAUGCGGCCUGAGAUUCAGCCUUGCUUUUGCUUGGUGUUUUUCCCAGAUUGCAGGCCAACGUCGGUUUUGGGCACUGGAGAAGGGUAGGAGGAACGUGGCACCUCUCGGGGUGUGUUAUAGCCUCCUACUGGAUACAGCGACCGAGACCGAGGACAGCAGCGUACUCGCAAGAGCGGGCCUUCGGGCACCUUUACGCUUAGGGCGUUGGCAUAAUGGCCCUCUACCACCCGUCUUGA